UCGCGGCUGGCCUGCUGGUGGCGCUCGGCACGCUGGCGAUGCGUCAGUUCGGGCAUUUCGAACUGCGGUUCGACACCUCGCUGCAAG
This 87-nucleotide transfer RNA is filed under the name Pandoraea commovens. RNAcentral describes it as "Pandoraea sp. LMG 31010 tRNA-Ala". The record is from RNAcentral. Lineage: Bacteria; Pseudomonadati; Pseudomonadota; Betaproteobacteria; Burkholderiales; Burkholderiaceae.